This 264-nucleotide ribosomal RNA is filed under the name uncultured archaeon. Its description in RNAcentral is "partial 16S ribosomal RNA". It matches the Rfam family "Archaeal small subunit ribosomal RNA", at positions 717 to 982 of the family's 1478-position model. The record is from RNAcentral.
AGUCACUGACAUUAGAUACCCGUGUAGUCCAGGGUGUAAACGCUGCAGACUUGGUGUUUGGGGGCCCUUUGGGGGCAUUCAGUGCCGGAGAGAAGUUGUUAAGUCUGCUACUUGGGAGUACGUCCGCAAGGAUGAAACUUAAAGGAAUUGGCGGGGAGCACCGCAACGGGAGGAGCGUGCGGUUUAAUUGGAUUCAACACCGUAAAACUCACCAGGGAAGACUGUUACAUGAAGGCCGAGAUGAAGACUCUGCUAGAUUUUCAG